Molecule: long non-coding RNA, 6490 nt
Organism: Paramormyrops kingsleyae
Lineage: Eukaryota; Metazoa; Chordata; Actinopteri; Osteoglossiformes; Mormyridae
Source: RefSeq, a predicted model, not a curated record
CACAGCACUUACCGGAAGACCAUUCCCUGAAGAAAAUUCCCUACCCCAGACCUCCUUAAUGAUCAUCACGGUUAUUUAUUAGCUAUCUGUUAUGGGCUAAUGCUCCGUGUCAGGUGACACGCGACCUGUUGAGCGAUGGGAAGGCAAGGUGACCCUGGGGAAGCCUGAAUGAGUUAGUAGACCUAACCACCACCUAGCUCAUGACAUCUCAAGGAUGCUAAGUGCUAGCCCGCUAGCCUGCCGGUGGCUUAUAAAUCUGAGAGCAGCUGUGGCUUUGGUAAUUCCUACAGCGAGUUUCAGGGGACCCCGCCCACGUGCGCUUUUCAGUUGACUUAACUUAUAGUAAGGCACUGUAGGGGAUAAAACUCUAUCUAAGUCGUGAUAACACAACUGCCACAAAUGCCCGGGGUUACCCUCUGUGAAAACGCUGCAUUAUUGAAGUCUCAUGUACGGUGCUAUAUCACAGAGACAAUUUAAUCACAGGGUUAGUUAAAUCUUAAAAAUAUGCUGGGCUGGUGUCCUUUUAUGGUCAUAAACUAUACUCUGUGUGUUGCAUACUAGGUAUUUUUUAAUAUAUGGGGGCUCCCCUCGUGGGUGGGAGCGACGGUAAAAGUUGUGGACGGGGGGGCGGAGCUGUGGUGACGGUAAAUUUUUCUCUUAUGGGGGUCGCCCCAGAUCCGCCUCAGUUCAGACAAUGGUUUUAUUAAAUAAUUGAAUGAUUGAAUGAAAUAUAAAUGAACAUGUGUGAUUUUCUGAAUUCUUCACGGAAUAAUUUUAAGAGGAAAUAAGACACAAUGCAUUUCUCCCAUCUGUCUUCUGACGGCUUAGUCUGGACAGUGCUGCUGUUAGGGGGGGUCGGGUUGCAGCCCCUCCCAGCCAGCACAGGGUGUUGAGGUGAAGCCAUGGAUGGGACAUCAGUCCAUCACUGGACACACACCUUCUGGAUAUGAGGAGCCUCAGUAAGGAAUAGCUAGCAUGCCGCUUCACUUUUCAUUUUAGAUCGUAUGUAAAGUUAUUGAUGCAUUGCUUUUUAUUUUUUUAUUGUCUUAUUUUACAUUUUCAUUACAUUUGCAUUUUACAUGUUUAGCAGGUCCUUUUAAGUGAAGCAUGUAGCACGUUACAAGCAUACAGCUGUUGAGGAGUCUGCUAGGAGUAAGUACAGCUAGGCUGAGCUUACAGUGAAUGCUUAGGUAUAAGCUGCAGAAGCUUUGGGGCGGUGUGUGGCUUAGGGGGGUAAACCCCCGUUUGGCCAGAUAACCACAUGUCUGUGGGCCCUUGAGAAAGACCCUUAACCCCCACAGCUCCAUGGGCACCGCUGCAGGUGGCUGCCCUUCACUGCCAAGCUUGCUCUCACCUACAUAUGUGUCUGUGUAUCAUGGAGAGCAAGAUGGGGUAGGCGAAAAGAGAAUUUCCCCACGGGGAUUAACAAAAGUAUCAUUAUUGGAGCAGGACUACACAACAGUUUCCAACACAGCAAGAGCUGAAUAGGACAACUAUUCAAAUCAGCAGAAAGUGCAACAAGCUUGGCGCAGUUGUUCCUGGAUCAGAUGGGUCUUGAGGUGUUUCUUGAAGGUAGACACCUUGAUGACUGGACAUGGUUUGGCAGCUCGUUUUACCACCAGGGAACCAUCUGCAGUGGAAGGAGCUCCUAGCAGCAUUUAUUUGCUUUUUGAUGGAUUUCAUUGUUAGCCACAUAAAGGUUAAAAUGCGCAGUAAAUUCUUGUCAUCACAGCGCGAAUGUACACACAAAAAAUACGCGUUUGCGUUGCUGUAAGAAAUUGCUGCAUAUAUUGCUUUGCAUGGCGAAUGCGUACUUACAUGUGUACCAGUUAUGUACUAACAACCAUUGGUAAUGCUCGUUACCAUUACAGUACUUUAAGUACAAAUUGUAUUGUAUUAUAUAGUCGCCUAUAUAAUAUUUAUGUAGUAAUGGCAUGCGAAUGGAUGGACGUUAGCGAAUGACAGCAGGCAGGUGCUGGUGCGUUUUUCAGAAAUACACCGAAAUUAAACUUUUGCCGCAUUAUUUACAGACACUUUUAACACCAACACCAGUGGCCAUUAACUCUUAAACCUGAAAUAACUGCAUUAAAAUGAAGCAACAAUGUGAUUUCGAUACAUUAUUUUUUACUUAACAGUUCCUUCCCCCCCAUUCCUCUGUCUGCUCACUGAUGCCAAAUAAAAAGUAACUUACAGAUGCUAAAUUUUCAAACCUAGACAGAUACAACACAAAGUAACUGUUUGAAUAGUAAGUACAUGUUUUAUUGUAAUGCUCAUAUCUUAUCUCAUCUUAUUUUAUCCUAUCCUGUGUUAUUCUAUCUUAGCUUAACCUAUCCUAUCUCGACAUUAACGCUUAAACAGCAUCUCCACUAAUCCUCCAUCCCCAGCCACAGCCCAUCAGUCCAUGAAUCUUUGCUAGGACCUGCUGCUCCGCAGAUUGCAGAGGCUGUCCCUGGCCUCUCUCGGCUCGCAGAGGGCAGGAGCCAUUGACGUCCGUGCCUCGUCUUCCACGGGGCUCCCGCUUCCUCCCUGGGUGGUGGCUUGCCCCUCCCGCUUCUUGGGCGAUCCCUUUGGAUGUGUCGAUUAGCUUAACUUCUUUGCACUCCAUAUUUUUUAUUUUUUUUUAGAUGUUUAGACUCUUCAAAAUACAGCCACUCGCUAAAAUGCACGAAAGAAGUAUGAAAACAGAAGUACAAGUGAUUCAAAAGUAAUCAAGCUGUUGUCACGGAAGCCCAUUCAUAUCAUAACAAACAAUAACAUCCUACACAGGUCGUUGUUGACUUAUGACCUCGAUCGGUUCCGUGACGUGUCACCAUCAACGUUGUGAUGUAAGAUGUGUGUUUGUUAGGUAUGGUUCAGGGGUGCAACGGAUCACAAAACUCACAGUUCGUAUCACGGUAUAUGAGUCACGGAUAGGAUCAUGUUUCAUAUCAGCAAAAAAUGUGACAAACUUAACUUUGCUUUCCAUUUAUUAUUUAAAGAAUGGAAAGAAAACUCAAAACAAUCUAUUUUUUCAAUGUAAUAAAAACAGUACAUUGAUAGUCAGAAUGUCUGAGGUCUUGGAUGGACCAAUGUGGACUGACUUUGUCCCUCUAUCAGCCCCUAAGCCUCCACUGUGUUGGACUCAGAUAACUUGUCUGCCUGGCUGUGUCGUCCUGUCCGUCCAUCGCCCCUGGCCGCUGACCCCACUGUGGGUGUAAUUGGCUUUGUGUAGCUUCUGUGUUCGUCGGCAAGAGCCAGAAAAUUAAUGUUUCUGCAAAUGACCCGUUUGUCAAGGACGCUAAGUGGCAUUCAGUAAUCCGUGCAGGACUCAAGGACAUCGAGCAGAGAAACAGGACAGAUUUAUGAUAAUUAUGCAGAGAGCGGCCCGAAAUCCUGUCUGAGCUGCUGUGUCUUUCAGUUAUAGGGAAGCAAGUAAAGACGAUGCCAGCAAGAUCUGCCUUACUGAAGGUAUUCUGUAGCAUUUUGAUGCUGCUUAAUAUAUCAUACCAAGAUUUCCUCCAGAAGGAGAUGCGUAAUCAUCUUCCCACAGCCCUCAUCGUCAUCAUAUAAAAUGCAGGAUUAAUGAAAUUUAAAAAGAUAUCUUUUUAUGAGAAGUCAAUCUCUCAAAGUAAGCAAACAAAAUCAUUCCAAUACACACAUUUUGACAGCACGCUUCUGCUAAAACGGGGCCAUGUUUUCUUGACACUAAUAUAUCGGGAGCUCAGUAAAUGGACAAGCCAUGUAAACUGAAGAUGAUGAAGGUCCGGAAUGAGACUCCCAGGCCGUCUCAUUGAGCUCUGGGCUUUGCUGGUAAUGCAUGCAGUGUUGACUCAUCAUUCUGUCACCACAUUCCUGGAACUGAGACCCCAGGUGCUGGUGGCUGUCUGGAAUAUCUGCAGUACCAUCACUGCCAGGCAAAGGUCCCCGUCAGAGUGAAUCAGCAGGGUAAGGUGAUGGCAGAUAGCAGUACGCUGAAGCCCGAUCAUCGCAAGGGCAGUAAGGCGGCACAAGCGUGACAGAGACAUGAGUCCAGGGUAUGUUCAGUGGUAGAGAAUGCCAGCACCAACCCCAACAUACUGGGCUCUGAAAUGUGACGGAGAUGGAUGGAUGGAUGGAACACACCUAAAUAUCAGUCCAGUCAAUGCACAAAAAUAUGUAUGCCGCAAAAAGUAAAUUAAUAGUAGAGUAAAUGAAUUCUGCUGAUGAACCUGGUUUAACUGAAGUCUGCAGAGUGACAGUACUUUUUGGGGUGUGAGAAACAAAGUCUACUAUAUAUUAUUCUAAAAUAAUAAAUACUCUUAAAUAAAAUGCCAUUUGAGACAUUUAAGGAAAUGGAAGGUAUAAAUGCAUAAAUAGCAAUAACAAGUUUGUUCAUUUCUAAAAAAAGAAUCGGUCCCCGCAGUGGCAUGGCACGUGUGUGCCUGUAGGGGACUCCCUGGCCUGUGUCCUGCCCUUCCCGGGAUGAGCUCCAGGCUGGCUGUGUCCCUGCCUCAGAUGGGGUCUGCGGAUGAUGGAUGGACAGAUGAUUUGUUGAUGAGGUGAUUAAAGGUAAAGGUGACACUAAAUAAAAGGUUGUGGUUUUAUAUAAUUCAAGGUUGUUACUCAUGUUACAAACAACAAAUGUUUUUGACAGCAGAUGAAUCAUCCAUCGAUCCAUCUUCCGAAUGUUUAUCCUGAGCAGGGUUACGGGGGUGGGUCUGGACCCUAUCCCAGACUGCACAGGGCACACGGCUAGGGGCACCCAGGACAGCAUGCCAGUCCAUAACAGGGAAAACACACACUACAUGAAAUCAGGGAAUCCAAUUAGCCUAAUCAAUGUCCUUGUGGGAGGAAACUUGCGUGACACAUGAGAAAAUGAGAGAGCAUUCAAAAUCUACACGCACUGAGCAGAAACGAGAUUUAACGGCCAACUCUGGAGGUGCGAAGCAACAAUGUUACCUACUGAGUCAUCAUGCCACCCAGAACAAUGAAUCAGAGCAAAACUUAGAGAAGAUCCAAUGGAACCAGGGUAAAAAUUCAGUUAUGAUGUAUUUUUUGCUGCUGUGCAGUCAUGUCAGAAUGUACAUUUUAUUUUUCCGUCCAUAAAUGUUUAUUCAGUGUAGCGUGAGCAAUUAAAGAUGGAAACCUGCAUCAACACUGGGAGAACUUAGGAGAAAACUCCGCACAGAAGCCAAGAAGUGGGAUUCGAGUCUAUGAUCUUUGGAAGUAGGAGGCAAUUCCUGUUCUUUCCGAUUUCCCAACAAAAGCACAAGACAACAUUGAAACUUCCUGCUUUCGAAGCUCUCAGAGGGCAAUAUACUGGAAACACACAUGGGCCGGGGGUGGAUGGGUCAGCAGGCGAGUUGGGCUUGUGACCCCUCGUUGCUCGGCAACACAAGACCCUGACGCUGUUGGUGCAUUUCAGUGACGCCAGCCGAAGUUUUUACAGACUCCUCAUGGUGGCAGAUGGAGGAAAGCAGGGAACAAGGAACUUCUGGGUGUUUUACAGCCAUCUAGGGAAGGUGUCUGGGCAGUUUCUGAAAGAAAGACCAGAAGCAGUUAGGACAUCCUGCACUGAUGUUUUUCUGGAUGAGGCCUGACUUCAAAAGAUAAGACUCACCGCCAAACACAACAAAUAUUCCCUCAGCAAAACAUGGAAGAGGAAAAAAAAAGCUUACCUAAAAGAGCCUCCGGUUUCAUGUAGGACUGUUUAAAAACAAAUGGCCCAUUUAUGACUUCCCUUCCAUGGGAACAGAGAAGUCCCGGCAUCUGUGAUUGCUCUCUGAGAUCAAAAAUAAGCCCUUAUUAUUAAAUUGGUGCACUUGGCAGUCUUUUGCGCAAUAUGGCAGCCGUGCUGUGACAUCUCAGUCAGGUCCAGUCCUUCUUCACUGGACGGGAAUGCCUGGCACGCUCCGAGGAAAGCCCUCAUUGGCGGCUGGAGUGCGCAUCGUCGUGGAUACGCAGGGAAGCCCCGCCAUGUCAGGCCAUGUGACUCCCACCGGGUGGCCUGAUUGCAGGGCACUGAAGGACAGAUGAAAGAAUGGGCGGUAGACCCGGCUCACAGACAAAACCACCGUAGCUAUAUUUACCCGGGGCAGUGCUGCCAGUGGAGAUGAUCACAAGAAAGGUACUGCAAACCACUGGCAGUGGUCACUGACAGCAUCUGCUACAGAGAACUGGAUUAUCGGAUCCCAUGAAAGGCACAUUCUGCACUGCGGAUGAUAGGCUGAAAUUUCCCUUUAUUUGGACAUAACAUACACAACAACCAUCUAUCCCAAGUUCAAUAUUCUAAUAAACACCAUUAAUAGCCUCACCUAUCCAGCUCAAUAUGGCGUAGACAUACUGGGCACGAUUUACUUGUCGUAAAUUACAUGUGAUGUAAUACUGCAAUAAAAUUUUUUCUUCAUAUUGUUUAUAUGAAGACUUAAUAAAAUGCAGAUUAUUGCAUAAAUAAAACAGCAAAUAAAGUGUGGCAUGUUCUGAAAACUACAACUGUAAAAUUAAGAAAAUAAAUGCCCUCAUGUAACCAAGA